This 254-nucleotide ribosomal RNA is filed under the name uncultured bacterium. RNAcentral's name for it is "partial 16S ribosomal RNA". It matches the Rfam family "Bacterial small subunit ribosomal RNA", at positions 524 to 776 of the family's 1533-position model. The record is from RNAcentral.
UACGAGGGAUCCUAGCGUUGUUCGGAAUCACUGGGCGUAAAGGGUGCGUAGGCGGGUCUUUUAAGUCAGGGGUGAAAUCCUGGAGCUCAACUCCAGAACUGCCUUUGAUACUGAGGAUCUUGAGUUCGGGAGAGGUGAGUGGAACUGCGAGUGUAGAGGUGAAAUUCGUAGAUAUUCGCAAGAACACCAGUGGCGAAGGCGGCUCACUGGCCCGAUACUGACGCUGAGGCACGAAAGCGUGGGGAGCAAACAGG